Molecule: unclassified non-coding RNA, 240 nt
Filed under: soil metagenome
Description: partial contains 5.8S ribosomal RNA, internal transcribed spacer 2, and large subunit ribosomal RNA
Source: RNAcentral
AACGAGGCCGACCUGCGGCUGAGUUACCUGCGGAGGGAUCAUUACUGAGUGCGGGUUCCAAUGAGCCCAACCUCCCACCCGUGUUUACCGUAACCGCGUUGCCUCGGCGGGCCCACUGGGGCCUGUCCCCGGUCGCCGGGGGGCAUCUGCCCCCGGGCCCGCGCCCGCCGAAGCGCCCUAGAACCCUGCCUGAACAGUGAGUCUGAGUGAGUGAUUGAAUCAUUAAAACUUUCAACAAUG